This 253-nucleotide ribosomal RNA is filed under the name uncultured bacterium. Its description in RNAcentral is "partial 16S ribosomal RNA". It matches the Rfam family "Bacterial small subunit ribosomal RNA", at positions 524 to 776 of the family's 1533-position model. The record is from RNAcentral.
UACGUAGGGUGCGAGCGUUGUCCGGAAUUAUUGGGCGUAAAGAGCUCGUAGGCGGCCUGUCGCGUCGGAUGUGAAAGCCCGGGGCUUAACCCCGGGUCUGCAUUCGAUACGGGCAGGCUAGAGUGUGGUAGGGGAGAUCGGAAUUCCUGGUGUAGCGGUGAAAUGCGCAGAUAUCAAGAAGAACACCGAUGGCGAAGGCAGUCUGCUGGGCGAUCACUGACACUGAGGUACGAAAGCGUGGGUAGCGAACGGG